CCUACGUGGUGCAGCAGUGGGGAAUAUUGGACAAUGGGCGAAAGCCUGAUCCAGCCAUGCCGCGUGUGUGAAGAAGGCCUUCGGGUUGUAAAGCACUUUCAGUGGGGAAGAAAGCCUUGGGGCUAAUACCCUCGAGGAAGGACAUCACCCACAGAAGAAGCACCGGCUAACUCCGUGCCAGCAGCCGCGGUAAUACGGAGGGUGCGAGCGUUAAUCGGAAUUACUGGGCGUAAAGCGCGCGUAGGCGGUCUGAUAAGCCGGUUGUGAAAGUCCCGGGCUCAACCUGGGAACGGCAUCCGGAACUGUCAGGCUAGAGUGCAGGAGAGGAAGGUAGAAUUCCCGGUGUAGCGGUGAAAUGCGUAGAGAUCGGGAGGAAUACCAGUGGCGAAGGCGGCCUUCUGGACUGACACUGACGCUGAGGUGCGAAAGCGUGGGUAGCAAACAGGAUUAGAUACCCGGGUAGUC
This 465-nucleotide ribosomal RNA is filed under the name Vreelandella stevensii. RNAcentral's name for it is "partial 16S ribosomal RNA". It matches the Rfam family "Bacterial small subunit ribosomal RNA", at positions 338 to 795 of the family's 1533-position model. Lineage: Bacteria; Pseudomonadati; Pseudomonadota; Gammaproteobacteria; Oceanospirillales; Halomonadaceae. The record is from RNAcentral.